This 237-nucleotide ribosomal RNA is filed under the name Pteraeolidia ianthina. RNAcentral describes it as "partial 16S ribosomal RNA". The record is from RNAcentral. Lineage: Eukaryota; Metazoa; Mollusca; Gastropoda; Nudibranchia; Facelinidae.
UUAAUUACUCGAAUUUCCUGUGUAGGUGAAAAAGCCUAUUAAUAAAAUGGGACGAGAAGACCCUUAGAAUUUACUAAUGUUAAUUUCACUGGGGCGGUGCUGGCAUUGGAUCUGCUAUAGUUUUCUACAAGACGGUUGUAUCAGGAAUGAAAAAAUUACCUAAGGGAUAACAGCAUAAUUUUAUAAUCAAGAUUGUGACCUCGAUGUUGGACUANGGAAUUCUAGGGUCAGAAGCUC